ANCUANUNAGUGAGGUAAUGGCUCACCUAGGCGACGAUCCCUAGCUGGUCUGAGAGGAUGACCAGCCACACUGGAACUGAGACACGGUCCAGACUCCUACGGGAGGCAGCAGUGGGGAAUAUUGCACAAUGGGCGCAAGCCUGAUGCAGCCAUGCCGCGUGUGUGAAGAAGGCCUUCGGGUUGUAAAGCACUUUCAGCGAGGAGGAAGGGUUCNGUGUUAAUAGCACUGUUCAUUGACGUUACUCGCAGAAGAAGCACCGGCUAACUCCGUGCCAGCAGCCGCGGUAAUACGGAGGGUGCAAGCGUUAAUCGGAAUUACUGGGCGUAAAGCGCACGCAGGCGGUUUGUUAAGUCAGAUGUGAAAUCCCCGAGCUUAACUUGGGAACUGCAUUUGAAACUGGCAAGCUAGAGUCUUGUAGAGGGGGGUAGAAUUCCAGGUGUAGCGGUGAAAUGCGUANAGAUCUGGAGGAAUACCGGUGGCGAAGGCGGCCCCCUGGACAAAGACUGACGCUCAGGUGCGAAAAGCGUGGGNAGCAAACAGGAUUANAUACCCUGGUA
RNAcentral lists this ribosomal RNA (558 nucleotides) under Serratia fonticola. RNAcentral's name for it is "bacterial SSU rRNA". It matches the Rfam family "Bacterial small subunit ribosomal RNA", at positions 243 to 792 of the family's 1533-position model. Lineage: Bacteria; Pseudomonadati; Pseudomonadota; Gammaproteobacteria; Enterobacterales; Yersiniaceae. The record is from RNAcentral.